RNAcentral lists this ribosomal RNA (105 nucleotides) under Triticum aestivum (bread wheat). Its description in RNAcentral is "partial small subunit ribosomal RNA". The record is from RNAcentral. Lineage: Eukaryota; Viridiplantae; Streptophyta; Magnoliopsida; Poales; Poaceae.
AUGGAACAUAAAUGGAACUUCCGCCAAAAAAAGGACAUAACUACAAAAUGGAACUUCCGCAAAAAAAUAAAUACAAAAUGGAACAUAAAAGGAGAUCAUCAUUGA